UCAGGAGUUCUGGGCUGCAGCGGGCUGUGCCGAGCGGGUGUCCGCACUGAGGUCGGCAUCGAUAUGGGGAUUCCGGGGAAGCUCGGGGUCCCCAGGUUGCCUAAGGAGGGGUGAACCGGCCCAGGUCGGAAACGGAGCAGGUCAAAGCUCCCGUGCCGAUCAGUAGUGGGAUCGCGCCUGUGAAUGGCCCCUGCAGUGUAGCCUGAGUGAGACCCGGUCUCUU
This 223-nucleotide small RNA is filed under the name Chelydra serpentina (North American snapping turtle). Its description in RNAcentral is "Metazoan signal recognition particle RNA (ENSCSRG00000012300.1)". It matches the Rfam family "Metazoan signal recognition particle RNA", at positions 68 to 299 of the family's 299-position model. Rfam says of the family: The signal recognition particle (SRP) is a universally conserved ribonucleoprotein. It is involved in the co-translational targeting of proteins to membranes. The record is from Rfam by way of RNAcentral. Lineage: Eukaryota; Metazoa; Chordata; Testudines; Chelydridae.